Molecule: ribosomal RNA, 253 nt
Filed under: uncultured bacterium
Lineage: Bacteria
Description: partial 16S ribosomal RNA
Rfam family: Bacterial small subunit ribosomal RNA
Source: RNAcentral
UACGUAGGGAGCAAGCGUUGUCCGGAAUCAUUGGGCGUAAAGCGCGCGUAGGUGGCUUCGUAAGUCCGUUGUGAAAGUCAAAGGCUCAACCUUUGAAAGCCGAUGGAUACUGUGAAGCUAGAGUACGGAAGAGGAGAGUGGAAUUCCUGGUGUAGCGGUGAAAUGCGCAGAUAUCAGGAAGAACACCUAUGGCGAAGGCAGCUCUCUGGGACGGUACUGACGCUGAGACGCGAAAGCGUGGGGAGCGAACAGG